UACAGAGGUCUCAAGCGUUGUUCGGAAUCACUGGGCGUAAAGGGUGCGUAGGCCGCACGGUAAGUCAGAGGUGAAAUCCCGGAGCUCAACUCCGGAAUGGCCUCCGAUACUGCCGUGCUCGAGGACUGGAGAGGAGUCUGGAAUUCACAGUGGAGCAGUGAAAUGCGUGGAUAUUGGGAGGAACACCAGUGGCGAAGGCGAGUCUCUGGGCUGUACCUGACGCUGAGGCGCGAAAGCCAGGGGAGCAAACGGG
RNAcentral lists this ribosomal RNA (253 nucleotides) under uncultured bacterium. RNAcentral's name for it is "partial 16S ribosomal RNA". It matches the Rfam family "Bacterial small subunit ribosomal RNA", at positions 524 to 776 of the family's 1533-position model. The record is from RNAcentral.